Molecule: ribosomal RNA, 185 nt
Filed under: uncultured Bacteroidota bacterium
Lineage: Bacteria; Pseudomonadati; Bacteroidota
Description: uncultured Bacteroidetes bacterium partial 16S ribosomal RNA
Rfam family: Bacterial small subunit ribosomal RNA
Source: RNAcentral
ACAAUCUACCUUUUACAGAGGGAUAGCCCAGAGAAAUUUGGAUUAAUACCUCAUAGUAUAUAGACCUGGCAUCAGGAUUAUAUUAAAGUCACAACGGUAAAAGAUGAGCAUGCGUCCCAUUAGCUAGUUGGUAAGGUAACGGCUUACCAAGGCUACGAUGGGUAGGGGUCCUGAGAGGGAGAUCC